Molecule: long non-coding RNA, 1349 nt
Filed under: Numida meleagris (helmeted guineafowl)
Lineage: Eukaryota; Metazoa; Chordata; Aves; Galliformes; Numididae
Description: lncRNA (ENSNMEG00000013886.1)
Source: RNAcentral
GUACACAUCCUUACAGGAACAUUUUCCAGUUAAAAAAAAAAACUCUCUUAUUUUGAAAUUAAGUUUCUAUGGGUGUACUCAGGUUAAUUCUUAUUUUAGAAAAUAUCUUGUACUGAAUUUUAUGAUUUCUUUACCUUUACAGUAUUAAUUUCAGUACCUAAAAUAAUUCUAAAACAGAGCACCUGGACAACUUUAGCACUUAUCUUUAAAUCUGGGAUUAGAGAAUUGAUCUUGAAGCCUCCCUAGUCUGAGUGCACUAGCACUGCCAACAGUGAGCCAACCCGAUCAGUUAGAAAGACUUCAGCAAGUCUCUCACAAUGUCAUAGUCUAGCUGGGCUCACUUUUCUUAGCCCUUGUACUUGUUUGAUCCAUGAGUAAUCCAUGUUUUAUGUGGGAGAGGAAUAGCAAGAAAAGAGCUCGUUUAAGUCAAGAGUAGAAAAAAACGCACAAAUUUUGAAGUACAUUGUACUGAGAGUAUUUUUUAUUUUUUUUUUAGGAGAGUCUGUGGCCUUUGGAAGUGAAUCACCUUUGGAAGGGAAUGACCAGGACAACCUGAAACAGGUGAAGAGGUGGUCAGCCCAGCUUACUUUUUCCUUCUGUGCGGUGUCAUCACAAAACCCUCUAUUGUUUUUCAUCUCUUGUGACCACACUGUUAAGAAAGACCAGAUGACUGAGCAGUGCUACUGCAUUCAAUGCUGACAUGGCGGCCCCACGACCAACAAGAAGCUCCUUGUGACAGCUCCACCACUGCAAACCUGUGCUAGGCUGUGGGCCUGCUAAGAACAGAAAGCCAGACAUAAACAGAAAUAGGAUAUAGGGCACAAAAGGGAUCCAGGUACAGAAAAAUUUAUUUCUCUAAUUUCUCUUGCUUGCAGCUAUGUUCAACUAUUCUUCUCUAAAGCAAUGUUUAGUACAGUUCUGCUCACCAAAUGGAGUAUGGUUAGAGGAUCUGUGAGCACAGCUAUUUGGAAGGUUUAUAACAACUUCUGAUUUCCUGUGAUUGACUGGUGAAAGGUUAGAGGAACAUGAAAACACCACGCAAAAUGUGGGUGGAUAUUCCCCUUUCAAGUACUGUUCUAAGGAGCUUCCAAUUCUGGCUUACUGUAUCUAAAUCGAUUCCAAUCUGGUAGUGAAUGUAGUCUGUCCCUAGUGGAGUUGUUUCAGAAAAAUUUCUGAAGAAGAAUUGUUCAAGCCUUCUUUUCUUAAAGGAAAAUAAUGAGGCUUUAUAAUACCUGGCUUAGCUCAAUAUUUUACACUAAAACAGGAAACAUCUAUACUCAUGUCAAAUUUUUCUUUUUCCGUAAUAGUAACAAGCAGGAAAGAAUAAAAUAAGGGAAAAUAUGUAGACA